Molecule: ribosomal RNA, 123 nt
Filed under: Aspergillus ochraceoroseus
Lineage: Eukaryota; Fungi; Ascomycota; Eurotiomycetes; Eurotiales; Aspergillaceae
Also listed under: 1 other name
Source: RNAcentral
ACAUACGACCAUAGGAAGUGGAAAAUAGGGCUUCCCGUCCGCUCAGCCGUACUCAAGCCACUUGCCGGUCAGUUAGUAGUAUGGUGGGUGACCACAUGCGAAUCCUGACUGUUGUAUGUAAUU